RNAcentral lists this ribosomal RNA (292 nucleotides) under uncultured Planctomycetota bacterium. RNAcentral's name for it is "uncultured planctomycete partial 16S ribosomal RNA". The record is from RNAcentral. Lineage: Bacteria; Pseudomonadati; Planctomycetota.
GGACUACCCGGGUAUCUAAUCCCGUUCGCUACCCUAGCUUUCGUGCCUCAGCGUCAGAAGAGAACCAGUAAGCCGCUUUCGCCACCGGUGUUCCUUAGGAUAUCAACGCAUUUCACCGCUCCACCCUAAGUUCCGCUUACCUCUGUCUCCCUCGAGCACGGUAGUUUUGAGCGCCAUUCCUCAGUUAAGCUGAGGUAUUUCACACCCAACUUUCCGCACAGCCUACGCACCCUUUAAGCCCAGUAAUUCCGAAUAACGUUCGUACGGUUCGUCUUACCGCGGCUGCUGGCAC